Molecule: non-coding RNA, 138 nt
Organism: Brassica napus (rape)
Lineage: Eukaryota; Viridiplantae; Streptophyta; Magnoliopsida; Brassicales; Brassicaceae
Source: Rfam
CUGUCCCGACAAUCCUAUCCAGGAUUGGGGGCGUGACAGGUGGUUUGCCAUCUGCGACGUUGCGAGAAGUCCACUAAACCUUAUCAUUUAGAGGAAGAAGAAGUCGUAACAAGGUUUCCGUAGGUGAACCUGCGGAAG